GAUGAACGCUGGCGGCGUGCCUAAUACAUGCAAGUCGAGCGAAGCGGGGACGUGUGAGUAACCCUUGGAUAACCUCCUAUAACACUGCUAUAACUUCGGGAAACCGGAGCUAAACGGGAUACUUAUAGAUGUAUCCGCGCUGCAUUCGCUAGUUGGUAAGGUAACGGCGUACAAAGGCAACGAUGCAUAGCAGACCUUAGAGGGUGAUCGGCCAGACUGGAACUGAACGACGGUCAAGACUCCUACGGGCGGCAGCAGGAGGGAAUCUUCCGCGAUGGGCGGAAGCCGGACGGAGCAACGCCGCGUGAGAGAUGAAGGUCUGCAGGUCGUAAAACUCUGUUAUUAGGGAAGCGGUACCGAAUCAGAAAGCCACGGCGAACUACGUGCCAGCAGCCGCGGUAAUAC
RNAcentral lists this ribosomal RNA (405 nucleotides) under uncultured bacterium. RNAcentral describes it as "partial 16S ribosomal RNA". It matches the Rfam family "Bacterial small subunit ribosomal RNA", at positions 28 to 526 of the family's 1533-position model. The record is from RNAcentral.